Molecule: long non-coding RNA, 982 nt
Organism: Malus domestica (apple)
Lineage: Eukaryota; Viridiplantae; Streptophyta; Magnoliopsida; Rosales; Rosaceae
Source: RefSeq, a predicted model, not a curated record
UCUUUUCUUCGCGUUUGAUUUGACAAAAAUUAAGAGAGCAAGCUAAUAUAUAACCUUUUUCAUGGUCCACUUCUUUUUUCUUAGCUUUUUAAUAAGAACAUCCAGGCUCCAACCCUUGAAUAAGACCAUUUUUUUGAAAUUAACAAGCUGGCAUUCUUUUCUUUCUCAAAGCUUUUCAACUUUCUAUUGCCUUCGAACAUUACUUUUACUUGUAGAAGCAUCUGAUUUCUAGCUCUCAUCUCUCUCUCCCUCUUUCUCUCUCCACACCACAUAUUUCAAAUUAACAAUCCCCUACACACACAAUUGCGCAUUGAAUUGCCCAUGUUUCCUGCUCUCACCACCUUUUGGUCACCAAUUGCCUCAAAACCAAACUUCACCAAACCAUCUUUCACCAUCUGAUCUCUCUCCAUUCUAGCAAUCUAGUUUACUUAAUUUGGAACAAGCAAACUUAGCAUGGCUUCAAGUAGACGGCCUCUAGUUGUACUCGUAUCGGUAUGGCUUUUUGUGACGUUCAUCUUCAUUCCUCACGGAAAUUGCCAUGCCUCACCCACAACCGCCGCCCAAGUCUUCAGGUUCAAACCCAAGUACAUGCAGAAUUCUGGCCACUUUUUGGGCUUCUUUCCGAGAAGGAUACCUAUACCGGCUUCUGGCCCCUCAAGGAAGCACAAUGGUAUCGGCUUAAGAAGUUGGAGAUCACCCUGAUCAACAUAUCUAUAGCUACACAAGUUUAAUUUUUGACAAGGUACAGUAAUGCGUAUUGGUUUCUGAGAUUUCCUACAGAUGUAUAGGAGAAAGACUGGUUGGUUUUAUCUUAAUUCUGUGUUUUGGUGUGCUUCAGCAGUAGAUAAUAACAGCUUCACAGACUCUAAUUACUGAAUCACUGAUAUGAUAAUGACUUCAAUGUAUUAUUGUUUUCCAUUUCAAUGUCGUUCUGUAUAUUAUAGUAAAUACUAUACGUGCAAUUAAUACGUAUAUUUCAACA